AAAUUGAAGAGUUUGAUCAUGGCUCAGAUUGAACGCUGGCGGCAGGCCUAACACAUGCAAGUCGAACGGUAACAGGAAGCAGCUUGCUGCUUUGCUGACGAGUGGCGGACGGGUGAGUAAUGUCUGGGAAACUGCCUGAUGGAGGGGGAUAACUACUGGAAACGGUGGCUAAUACCGCAUAACGUCGCAAGACCAAAGAGGGGGACCUUCGGGCCUCUUGCCAUCAGAUGUGCCCAGAUGGGAUUAGCUUGUUGGUGAGGUAACGGCUCACCAAGGCGACGAUCCCUAGCUGGUCUGAGAGGAUGACCAGCCACACUGGAACUGAGACACGGUCCAGACUCCUACGGGAGGCAGCAGUGGGGAAUAUUGCACAAUGGGCGCAAGCCUGAUGCAGCCAUGCCGCGUGUAUGAAGAAGGCCUUCGGGUUGUAAAGUACUUUCAGCGGGGAGGAAGGUGUUGUGGUUAAUAACCGCAGCAAUUGACGUUACCCGCAGAAGAAGCACCGGCUAACUCCGUGCCAGCAGCCGCGGUAAUACGGAGGGUGCAAGCGUUAAUCGGAAUUACUGGGCGUAAAGCGCACGCAGGCGGUCUGUCAAGUCGGAUGUGAAAUCCCCGGGCUCAACCUGGGAACUGCAUUCGAAACUGGCAGGCUUGAGUCUUGUAGAGGGGGGUAGAAUUCCAGGUGUAGCGGUGAAAUGCGUAGAGAUCUGGAGGAAUACCGGUGGCGAAGGCGGCCCCCUGGACAAAGACUGACGCUCAGGUGCGAAAGCGUGGGGAGCAAACAGGAUUAGAUACCCUGGUAGUCCACGCCGUAAACGAUGUCUACUUGGAGGUUGUGCCCUUGAGGCGUGGCUUCCGGAGCUAACGCGUUAAGUAGACCGCCUGGGGAGUACGGCCGCAAGGUUAAAACUCAAAUGAAUUGACGGGGGCCCGCACAAGCGGUGGAGCAUGUGGUUUAAUUCGAUGCAACGCGAAGAACCUUACCUGGUCUUGACAUCCACGGAACUUUCCAGAGAUGGAUUGGUGCCUUCGGGAACCGUGAGACAGGUGCUGCAUGGCUGUCGUCAGCUCGUGUUGUGAAAUGUUGGGUUAAGUCCCGCAACGAGCGCAACCCUUAUCCUUUGUUGCCAGCGGUCCGGCCGGGAACUCAAAGGAGACUGCCAGUGAUAAACUGGAGGAAGGUGGGGAUGACGUCAAGUCAUCAUGGCCCUUACGACCAGGGCUACACACGUGCUACAAUGGCGCAUACAAAGAGAAGCGACCUCGCGAGAGCAAGCGGACCUCAUAAAGUGCGUCGUAGUCCGGAUUGGAGUCUGCAACUCGACUCCAUGAAGUCGGAAUCGCUAGUAAUCGUGGAUCAGAAUGCCACGGUGAAUACGUUCCCGGGCCUUGUACACACCGCCCGUCACACCAUGGGAGUGGGUUGCAAAAGAAGUAGGUAGCUUAACCUUCGGGAGGGCGCUUACCACUUUGUGAUUCAUGACUGGGGUGAAGUCGUAACAAGGUAACCGUAGGGGAACCUGCGGUUGGAUCACCUCCUUACCUU
RNAcentral lists this ribosomal RNA (1546 nucleotides) under Salmonella enterica subsp. enterica serovar Montevideo. RNAcentral describes it as "bacterial SSU rRNA". It matches the Rfam family "Bacterial small subunit ribosomal RNA". Lineage: Bacteria; Pseudomonadati; Pseudomonadota; Gammaproteobacteria; Enterobacterales; Enterobacteriaceae. The record is from RNAcentral.